This 735-nucleotide long non-coding RNA is filed under the name Phoenix dactylifera (date palm). Its description in RNAcentral is "long non-coding RNA (PDAC_LNC018798)". The record is from RNAcentral. Lineage: Eukaryota; Viridiplantae; Streptophyta; Magnoliopsida; Arecales; Arecaceae.
AAAAAAAAAAAAAAAAAGAAUGACUGGAUUGUAGAGGGUAACUUUUUUUGUCUUUUUGUGUUUGUCUUUUCUGGCUAAGUUUGUGCACCAGAGAUUUUUGGAUUUAAGAAUGCAUUUGAUUUAUGUGGUUGAUCUAUGGAGGGUGAAGUUGUCUGCGAGAUCUUCUUGCAAUUAGUGAUAGUAUCCUCCUAUAGUUUGUGAAAGUCUCAUUCUGGAUUUUUGGAAGAACACUCGAGCUGAACAUAUCCAAUCUUGUUAUGUGAAAAAAGACAAUAAUAAUUUAUUCCCAGCCUUCAAGUUCCCAUCCCAUGGUGUUUCAUGAAGCAUUUUAUUAUGUUUUCUUUAUGUUUUCCUGUAGCUUAUCCACUUGAUGUCCCUUUUCCUUAUGUUCUUAACCAAUCAUUCAUCAGUCUAGAUUCUUUUCGUCCUAGUUUUUUUUGUUUCAUUUUUUAUUUUUUAUAUUUCCCUUCACCACCCUUCGAUUCAGGUAUAAAAUAACAUUUCUCAGCAAUUCUCUUAUUUUCCUAAAAGUGAAAUGAGCUCUGGUGCUGCAGGAGGCUAUGUAUGAGCCCCAGAUUGAUAAAGAUUAAUUGAAAAAGAAGAUAGAGGUUGGGAGAAGAACUGAAAUCUACUACAAGAUUCCUCUCUUUAACUGUAGACUGCAGCAGUAUUCCUGAAUUAAGAGUUGUACGAGAACAACGACUUUGCUUAAACUUUCCUGUCAAAAAGAACAAU